Molecule: ribosomal RNA, 520 nt
Filed under: Penicillium janczewskii
Lineage: Eukaryota; Fungi; Ascomycota; Eurotiomycetes; Eurotiales; Aspergillaceae
Description: partial large subunit ribosomal RNA
Rfam family: Eukaryotic large subunit ribosomal RNA
Source: RNAcentral
AAAGCUGGCUCCUUCGGGGUCCGCAUUGUAAUUUGCAGAGGAUGCUUCGGGAGCGGUCCCCAUCUAAGUUCCCUGGAACGGGACGUCAUAGAGGGUGAAAAUCCCGUAUGGGAUGGGGUGUCCGCGCCCGUGUGAAGCUCCUUCGACGAGUCGAGUUGUUUGGGAAUGCAGCUCUAAAUGGGUGGUAAAUUUCAUCUAAAGCUAAAUAUUGGCCGGAGACCGAUAGCGCACAAGUAGAGUGAUCGAAAGAUGAAAAGCACUUUGAAAAGAGAGUUAAAAAGCACGUGAAAUUGUUGAAAGGGAAGCGCUUGCGACCAGACUCGCUCGCGGGGUUCAGCCGGCAUUCGUGCCGGUGUACUUCCCCGCGGGCGGGCCAACGUCGGUUUGGGCGGUCGGUCAAAGGCCCUCGGAAGGUAACGCCCCCAGGGGCGUCUUAUAGCCGAGGGUGCAAUGCGACCUGCCUAGACCGAGGAACGCGCUUCGGCUCGGACGUUGGCAUAAUGGUCGUAAGCGACCCGUC